UCCCUGGUGGCUCAGAUGGUAAAGAAUCUGCCUGUAAAGCAGAAGAUCCAGGUUCAAUCCCUGGGUUGGGAA
Non-coding RNA from Bos taurus (domestic cattle), 72 nucleotides. NCBI's taxonomy places the organism in Eukaryota, Metazoa, Chordata, Mammalia, Artiodactyla, Bovidae. The record is from Rfam.